GCGAGAUGGUGACCUGCAUCUCUUUGGACGGCCGCUUGUUCUCCUUGAAGAUGGCGAUGAGCGUGCGGCGCUGCAGGUUGGGGAGAGGACAUGGAACCUCUACAGAGUGUGGAAAGAAUUUAUGUUUGGCAACUGUUAACUCCUGGAAAAUCAAAGUUGUACAAGAAAGGAAAUGUAAUCCUAGUACUCUACAUGGCUCAGCUGCGGAUGCUCUUCACUGAAAAACCACAAUAAGAGUAAUUACUAAAUAUUGAUUUAGGCAAAAGACUAUAUUUGUAGCUGCACUGAGAAGCUGGCAGAAGGGGAGGGUGUGGGUACAGACGUAGAAAGGCGGCGAAGCAAAGCCCAGAAGACACUGUGCCAG
Non-coding RNA from Microcebus murinus (gray mouse lemur), 364 nucleotides. NCBI's taxonomy places the organism in Eukaryota, Metazoa, Chordata, Mammalia, Primates, Cheirogaleidae. The record is from RefSeq and is a predicted model, not a curated record.